AUUGAACGCUGGCGGAAUGCUUUACACAUGCAAGUCGAGCGGCAGCGCGGGGGCAACCCUGGCGGCGAGCGGCGAACGGGUGAGUAACAUAUCGGAACGUACCCAGUCGUGGGGGAUAACUAUCCGAAAGGAUAGCUAAUACCGCAUACGUCCUGAGGGAGAAAGCGGGGGAUCGCAAGACCUCGCGCGAUUGGAGCGGCCGAUAUCGGAUUAGCUAGUUGGUGGGGUAAAGGCUCACCAAGGCGACGAUCCGUAGCGGGUCUGAGAGGACGACCCGCCACACUGGAACUGUGACACGGUCCAGACUCCUACGGGAGGCAGCAGUGGGGAAUUUUGGACAAUGGGGGCAACCCUGAUCCAGCCAUUCCGCGUGAGUGAAGAAGGCCUUCGGGUUGUAAAGCUCUUUCAGCAGGAACGAAACGGUGGUCCCUAAUACGGACUACUAAUGACGGUACCUGAAGAAGAAGCACCGGCUAACUACGUG
RNAcentral lists this ribosomal RNA (484 nucleotides) under uncultured bacterium. RNAcentral describes it as "bacterial SSU rRNA". It matches the Rfam family "Bacterial small subunit ribosomal RNA", at positions 29 to 507 of the family's 1533-position model. The record is from RNAcentral.